AGGGCACCACCAGGAGUGGAGCCUGCGGCUUAAUUUGACUCAACACGGGAAAACUCACCUGGCCCGGACACCGUGAGGAUUGACAGAUUGAGAGCUCUUUCUUGAUUCGGUGGUUGGUGGUGCAUGGCCGUUCUUAGUUGGUGGAGUGAUUUGUCUGGUUUAUUCCGAUAACGAGCGAGACUCUAGCCUACUAAAUAGUUACUGGAUAAUUGCGUCCAGAAGACUUCUUAGAGGGACAAGCGGUGUUCAGCCGCACGAAGCUGAGCAAUAACAGGUCUGUGAUGCCCUUAGAUGUCCAGGGCUGCACGCGCGCUACACUGGAGAAUCAGCGUGCUGUACCAUUGCCGAAAGGCAUUGGUAACCCCUUGAAAUCUUCGUGAUCGGGAUCCGGAAUUGCAAUUUUUUCCUUUAACGAGGAUUCUUGUAGUUUGAGUCAACAGCUCACGUUGAUACGUCCUGCCCUUUGAAACACGUCCGUCCUGCCCGGACUGACCGUUUAAAAAUCGGAAGCUGUUCAUC
Molecule: ribosomal RNA, 519 nt
Filed under: uncultured eukaryote
Lineage: Eukaryota
Description: SSU rRNA
Rfam family: Eukaryotic small subunit ribosomal RNA (bases 1-466)
Source: RNAcentral